GGAGCGGCCGAUGCCUGAUUAGCUAGUUGGUGGGGUAAAGGCCUACCAAGGCAACGAUCAGUAGUUGGUCUGAGAGGACGACCAGCCACACUGGGACUGAGACACGGCCCAGACUCCUACGGGAGGCAGCAGUGGGGAAUUUUGGACAAUGGGCGAAAGCCUGAUCCAGCAAUGCCGCGUGAGUGAAGAAGGCCUUCGGGUUGUAAAGCUCUUUCAGUCGAGAAGAAAAGGUUGUGACUAAUAAUCACAACUUAUGACGGUACCGACAGAAGAAGCACCGGCUAACUACGUGCCAGCAGCCGCGGUAAUACGUAGGGUGCAAGCGUUAAUCGGAAUUACUGGGCGUAAAGGGUGCGCAGGCGGCUUUGUAAGUCAGAUGUGAAAUCCCCGGGCUUAACCUGGGAAUU
RNAcentral lists this ribosomal RNA (407 nucleotides) under uncultured beta proteobacterium. Its description in RNAcentral is "bacterial SSU rRNA". It matches the Rfam family "Bacterial small subunit ribosomal RNA", at positions 223 to 622 of the family's 1533-position model. The record is from RNAcentral. Lineage: Bacteria; Pseudomonadati; Pseudomonadota; Betaproteobacteria.